Molecule: ribosomal RNA, 481 nt
Filed under: uncultured bacterium
Lineage: Bacteria
Description: partial 16S ribosomal RNA
Rfam family: Bacterial small subunit ribosomal RNA
Source: RNAcentral
GACGAACGCUGGCGGCGUGCUUAACACAUGCAAGUCGAACGGGAUCCGGGCUUUCGGGUUUGGUGAGAGUGGCGAACGGGUGAGUAACACGUGAGUAACCUGCCCCCUUCUUUGGGAUAACGUCGGGAAAUCGGCGCUAAUACUGGAUAUUCUUGCUGCAUCUCCUGGUGUGGUUUGGAAAGGGUUUCUGGUGGGGGAUGGGCUCGCGGCCUAUCAGCUUGUUGGUGGGGUGAUGGCCUACCAAGGCUUUGACGGGUAGCCGGCCUGAGAGGGUGUCCGGCCACACUGGGACUGAGACACGGCCCAGACUCCUACGGGAGGAAGCAGUGGGGAAUAUGGAACAAUGGGCGCAAGCCUGAUGCAGCGAGGCCGCGGGAGGGAUGACGGCCUUCGGGUUGUAAACCUCUUUCAGUAUGGAACAAGGAUCCUUCAUUUGGGGGGUUUGAGGGUACGUGCAGAAGAAGCGCCGGCUAACUACGUG